AUACGUAGGUGGCAAGCGUCGUCCGGAUUUACUGGGUGUAAAGGGCGUGUAGGCGGAGAUGCAAGUCAGGAGUGAAAUCUAGGGGCUCAACCCCUAAACUGCUUUUGAAACUGUAUCCCUUGAGUAUCGGAGAGGCAGCCGGAAUUCCUAGUGUAGAGGUGGAAUGCGUAGAUAUUAGGAGGAACACCAGUGGCGAAGGCGGCCUGCUGGACGACAACUGACGCUGAGGCGCGAAAGCGUGGGGAGCAAACAGGAUUAGAUACCCUGGUAGUCCACGCUGUAAACGAUGAAUACUAGGUGUGGGGGGACUGACCCCCUCCGUGCCGCAGUGAACACAAUAAGUAUUCCACCUGGGGAGUACGAUCGCAAGAUUGAAACUCAAAUGAAUUGACGGGG
RNAcentral lists this ribosomal RNA (396 nucleotides) under uncultured bacterium. RNAcentral's name for it is "partial 16S ribosomal RNA". It matches the Rfam family "Bacterial small subunit ribosomal RNA", at positions 523 to 918 of the family's 1533-position model. The record is from RNAcentral.